GAUGAAGAACGCAGCGAAAUGCGAUAAGUAAUGUGAAUUGCAGAAUUCAGUGAAUCAUCGAAUCUUUGAACGCACAUUGCGCCCCUUGGUAUUCCGAGGGGCAUGCCUGUUCGAGCGUCAUUAUAACCCCUCAAGCUCAGCUUGGUGUUGGGGCCUGCUGCACUGGCAGCCCUUAAAAUCAGUGGCGGCGCCAUCUGGCUCUAAGCGUAGUAAUUCUUCUCGCUAUGGAGUCCUGGUGGAUGCUUGCCAUCAACCCCCACUUUUUCUAUGGUUGACCUCGGAUCAGGUAGGGAUACCCGCUGAACUUAAGCAUAUCAAUAAGCGGAGGA
Molecule: unclassified non-coding RNA, 329 nt
Filed under: soil metagenome
Description: partial contains 5.8S ribosomal RNA, internal transcribed spacer 2, and large subunit ribosomal RNA
Rfam family: 5.8S ribosomal RNA (bases 1-120)
Source: RNAcentral